GUAGGGGGCUAGCGUUGUCCGGAAUCAUUGGGCGUAAAGCGCGCGUAGGCGGCCCGGUAAGUCCGCUCUGAAAGUCCAGGGCUCAACCCUGGAAAGCGGGUGGAUACUGCCGGGCUAGAAUCCGGAAGAGGCGAGUGGAAUUCCUGGUGUAGCGGUGGAAUGCGCAGAUAUCAGGAGGAACACCAAUAGCGAAGGCAGCUCGCUGGGACGGUAUUGACGCUGAGGCGCGAAAGCGUGGGGAGCAAACAGGAUUAGAUACCCUGGUAGUCCACGCCGUAAACGAUGGGCACUAGGUGUGGGAGGUGUCGACUCCUCCCGUGCCGACGCUAACGCAUUAAGUGCCCCGCCUGGGGAGUACGGCCGCAAGGCUA
Molecule: ribosomal RNA, 371 nt
Filed under: uncultured organism
Description: bacterial SSU rRNA
Rfam family: Bacterial small subunit ribosomal RNA
Source: RNAcentral